Molecule: long non-coding RNA, 612 nt
Filed under: Ananas comosus (pineapple)
Lineage: Eukaryota; Viridiplantae; Streptophyta; Magnoliopsida; Poales; Bromeliaceae
Description: long non-coding RNA (ACOM_LNC018439)
Source: RNAcentral
UUACCAAAAAGUCCAACAAAUUUUCCUCCUUUAAUUAAAGUUUUUUUUUUUGAGAGAUAGGUAGCACACUAUUCGCUUCGUUUAUUUUAUUUAGAAAUAAAUUUAACUGAAAAUGUGAAUCAAUUAGAAUUCGAAUUUAGGAUCUCGGGUACCAAUCACCAAACCCUUUGCCAACUGCAGUUUUAUUUGCACAUAUAGCAUAUAUAAUAUUAUACAACUAUAAAAUGCAAAAACAAAAAUUCCAAAAAAUAGAAUGAAUUAUUUAUUAAUUUUUAUUAUUAUUAUUUUGAGAUUGGUAGGACGCUAUCCGCUUCGUUUAUUUCAUUUAGAAAUAAACUUAGCUGGAAAUGUGAAUUAAUUAGGAUUCGAACUUGGGUCUCGGGUACCAACUCUCAAAUCCUUUGCCACUUGCUCUAGAAACUGUCGGUAUUACUUUUUAUAUAUUAAAUUAAAAAAUUGAUAUUUUUAAAGUUUUGCAAGAUUAUGUGUAUAAUUAGUACGUUCGUUUGACCGAAAAAAUUUAUUAAACUAUUCAAUAAAAUUCAAGAGAUUUAAUUAUCCAAAUUAAAAGUUCUGACACCUAUUUAUAAAAAUACAAAAUAAUAAUAAUUU